This 253-nucleotide ribosomal RNA is filed under the name uncultured bacterium. RNAcentral describes it as "partial 16S ribosomal RNA". It matches the Rfam family "Bacterial small subunit ribosomal RNA", at positions 524 to 776 of the family's 1533-position model. The record is from RNAcentral.
UACGUAGGGUGCAAGCGUUGUCCGGAAUUAUUGGGCGUAAAGAGCUCGUAGGCGGUUUGUCGCGUCUGCUGUGAAAACCCGAGGCUCAACUUCGGGCCUGCAGUGGGUACGGGCAGACUAGAGUGCGGUAGGGGAGAUUGGAAUUCCUGGUGUAGCGGUGGAAUGCGCAGAUAUCAGGAGGAACACCGAUGGCGAAGGCAGAUCUCUGGGCCGUAACUGACGCUGAGGAGCGAAAGCGUGGGGAGCGAACAGG